UACGGAGGGUGCAAGCGUUAUCCGGAUUCACUGGGUUUAAAGGGUGCGUAGGAGGGCAGGUAAGUCAGUGGUGAAAUCCCCGAGCUUAACUUGGGAACUGCCAUUGAUACUAUGUUUCUUGAAUUUUCUGGAGGUCAGCGGAAUAUGUCAUGUAGCGGUGAAAUGCUUAGAUAUGACAUAGAACACCAAUUGCGAAGGCAGCUGACUACAGGGACAUUGACACUGAGGCACGAAAGCGUGGGGAUCAAACAGG
RNAcentral lists this ribosomal RNA (253 nucleotides) under uncultured bacterium. Its description in RNAcentral is "partial 16S ribosomal RNA". It matches the Rfam family "Bacterial small subunit ribosomal RNA", at positions 524 to 776 of the family's 1533-position model. The record is from RNAcentral.